Long non-coding RNA from Homo sapiens (human), 618 nucleotides. Lineage: Eukaryota; Metazoa; Chordata; Mammalia; Primates; Hominidae. The record is from Ensembl.
CCCUAGUUGUGGGAGCAGACGCGUGGGCACAUUGCGGGCGGGCAGGGCCUGAAGUGCAGCUAUGUUUCCAGUGUCCUCUGGGUGUUUCCAAGAGCAACAAGAAAUGAAUAAAUCUCUGGUGAGUUGUUUAUUUGUUCUUCACUUUGUUUUACACUGUAUUUUCUGAGUUUAUGGGUGUCUGUGAAUUAAAAAGGAAAAGUAGAAAUAAGUAAAACUCAGGUUGAAGGAAAUAUACAUAAAUAAGAUAAAGCUGACCUGUAGAUAUAGGCAGGUUAUAAGAGCUUAGAGUUGUCUAAGUUGAGUGCAAAUUUUCCUCUGAUCUUUCUGAUGCCGAGACAAAAAAGGCAGUCAUGUUUGUUAUGUGAUUGGAAUGGAACCCGAGAAGAGAGCAUGCUGUGUUCUUGUGGGACAGGAAAGCUUGCGUGCACCAAGUCUGAACCACCACCUUCAUUGGUGACAUAGAUUAUGUGCUGGAACAUAUUUCACACCGGCCUGGCAGUAAACACUUGUAGUGUUGUGCAGUGGAAACGGUCAUCUUCCGCUAAAGCACGGCGUGUUGUGCAGCGGAAAUGGUCAUCUGCUGCUAAAGCACAGCUUCCAUCGUAAUGUAUGCUCCUU